RNA transcript from Ananas comosus (pineapple), 2491 nucleotides. It is a transcript of the gene named probable ribosomal RNA small subunit methyltransferase B, with no coding region annotated. The record is from RefSeq and is a predicted model, not a curated record. NCBI's taxonomy places the organism in Eukaryota, Viridiplantae, Streptophyta, Magnoliopsida, Poales, Bromeliaceae. The transcript has 18 exons.
CUUUGUUCAUCUCCUCGCGUAGGAAACAAACAAGAAACCACGAGACCAAUGGAGGGAGCCCGACCCUUCUCCGUCGUCUCCUCCACCUCUACCUCUCGCUCAAAUCUCCGCCUCGCGUAUAAUAAAUCCCUUCCCCAAUCCUUUUCUCUCCUAACGUCGAAUUCAAAUGUUCCAUCUCCUCUCAAAUCCUCGAAGAAACCCCACAAAAGAACGGAGAGGAAUCCGAUUCCGAGGACCCCAAAACUGAAUUCGGAGGUUUCCCCUCACAGAGCAGCUUCGGCGGUGAGGCUGCUGAGGAUCGAACAGGGCGGAGCUUUCGCAGAUCUUUUGAACGAGAAGUGCGGGGGCAAUGGCGAGGGCGAAAUGGGCUAUGUCCAGAGGACGCUAGGGUUUCGUACGCGGGCCCUAGACGAUAGAGAUAUCAGAUUGGUGACAGACAUUGUUGGCGGCACUGUUCGUUGGAGACGAUAUCUUGAUCAUCUGAUCAUGUCGGUCUGCAUUGAGGAGAGGAUGUUCAGGGACAUGGAGCCAUUGCUUUUGCAAAUAUUGCGUGUUGGGUUCUACGAGAUCAUCAAGCUAAACAUGCCAUCUUAUGCUGUUGUUGAUGAGAAUGUAAAGCUUGCAAAAGCAGCACUGAGGCCCGGUGCAGGGAAUUUGGUUAAUGCGAUUAUGCGAAAGCUACUUUUGUUGAAGGAAACAGAAUCUCUACCUCUCCCAGCGGUAGAAGGUGAUGAUCGCGCCCGAGCACGUGCUCUUGCCAUUAUUCAUUCACAUCCUGUUUGGAUGGUCAGGAGAUGGAUAAGAUUUCUUGGGCAAGAAGAAGCUAUCAGACUCAUGAACUGGAACAACAGGGAUCCCUGUUUCAGUUUAAGGGUGAACAGCGGGAAUGGUUUUACAAUUGCUGAUCUUGUUAAGAAAUUGCAAGAUUUGAAGGUUCCUUAUGAGCGUUCUACUGUUUUGCAUGAAUUUCUUCGUAUUCAAACUGGCAUGCAGACAGUCAUACAAGCUGGCUUACUGAAGGAGGGCAUGUGUUCUGUUCAGGAUGAGAGUGCAGGAUUGGUAGUGUCUGUGGUGGAUCCACAGCCUGGAGAAACAAUCAUUGAUUGUUGUGCUGCACCUGGUGGAAAAACUUUAUUCAUGGCAUCACGCUUAAAAGGACAAGGCAUGGUCCGUGCAAUUGACAUAAAUAAAGGCCGUUUAAGAAUUCUCAAAGAGACAGCUAGAUCACACAAACUUGACAGUGUGAUCGCUGCCGUCCACACAGACAUUCGACUAUAUGUUGAUAAAAAAACCACCGAGGCUGAUAAAGUUCUGUUGGAUGCUCCUUGUUCUGGACUGGGCGUCCUUUCCAAGAGAGCAGACUUGCGUUGGAACAGACAUUUAGAAGAUUUAGAGCGGUUGAAGAAUUUGCAAGAUGAGCUUCUUGAUGCAGCUUCACUGUUGGUGAAGCCUGGUGGGGUUCUUGUCUACAGCACUUGUUCCAUCGACCACGAGGAAAAUGAAGAAAGGAUUGCAGCAUUUCUUCACAGGCACCCGGAAUUUGUUCUGCAACCUGUGGAUGGAUACGUUCCUCCUGAUUUUGUGACACGUGAUGGUUUCUAUUCCUCUAGUCCCAUUAAGCAUUGGAUGGACGGGUCAUUUGCUGCUCGGCUGGUCCGAUCGCUAGGCUAGAAGUCCAAGUUCUAGGUCAGUAAUAUCACAAGUCAGGAUGUCUCUGCUAGACUAGCUUGAUUCACAUGUGGAGUGCUCUCAGCUUCAGGAAACACUUAUUUGGAUUUGACAUUGAAGAUGUGAGUCAUCCAAACCAAGUGAAGUAAUGGGCUUCUUAGGCACUUAGUGCUGAAUAUAAAUUUCAAAAGUAUUGCUGUCUGAAGCUUUCAGAUGACAAUGCGAGGCUCCUAGCUCCAUUUAACAUCGUAUCAAAGUGGAAGGCCCGAAGCCUCUGAUUUCGAAUCCUGCUAGACUCCUGGCUUUACUUAAUUUGUUUAAUUUGCUCACAUUUCAUGCUUGCGAUUUGAAGGGAGAUGCUCAACACAGGCCAAGAGUAGCAGAUAUCAUUCCUCAUGAAAUAAAUGGUGGUAGUUUGGCUCGGCGAUGCUGAUUAUUAUUGUUAUUAUUAUUAUUGUUGUUGUUAUUAUUUUAAACACAUUUUUAUGCUUGUUUCUGCAUAUAUCGGCAUAGCUAUUUAUUCCAAGAAAAAGCUACACUAAUUCUCUAGUAGAAAGAAAAAGAAAAGCUACAUUAAAUACGAAAUGUUUGAACAUGUGAUGUUUUGUUCCGCCAGUUUUUAUGUAGCUUUUCUUUUUAAGUUCAAACAUUCUGUAUGUAAUGCAGCUUUGUCGCCCCGUCUACAAGAAAGAACAGAGAAAACAUGUUAAGUUCAAACAUUUUAAGUGUUUUCUUUUUUUCUCUUGGGGAAAAAACAAAUAGACCAAGUGUUUUUUGGCCAUGUGCUGUUAACGUGAAAACCUUCGUGAGACUAUGAUGACAA